CCUACGGGAGGCAGCAGUGGGGAAUUUUGGACAAUGGGCGCAAGCCUGAUCCAGCAAUGCCGCGUGUGUGAAGAAGGCCUUCGGGUUGUAAAGCACUUUUGUCCGGAAAGAAAACUGCCUGGCUAAUAUCCGGGCGGGAUGACGGUACCGGAAGAAUAAGCACCGGCUAACUACGUGCCAGCAGCCGCGGUAAU
Molecule: ribosomal RNA, 194 nt
Filed under: Burkholderia sp. enrichment culture isolate DGGE gel band B20
Lineage: Bacteria; Pseudomonadati; Pseudomonadota; Betaproteobacteria; Burkholderiales; Burkholderiaceae
Description: partial 16S ribosomal RNA
Rfam family: Bacterial small subunit ribosomal RNA
Source: RNAcentral